CAUACUAUUUUUCUUCUUUUACGUUUCUAAAAAACAUUCACGAUAGUCGAAAGCAAACGCCGCCUGAUCUGAUGGCUGAGUUCUUCUGUUCUUGCAGUGGGGCUUGAAUCCAGGGCCCUGAGUGUGCUGGGUGAGCACCUUCCACACACACACACACACACACACACACACACACAAUCCGCAGAGCAAGCUCUUUAACAGCUCUUCAGGAAUUUUGCGGCGGCCGAGGGAGGGACCCCGACGCCGUGGGAACCGGGGUACAGCGCCCCGCGCAGGCGCAGGAGGGAGGUGCGGCUCCCCUUUCCGACCCCGCUGACCUCCCCGGUGUGACUCCGGGGAGACGGCAGCCUGUGGGGCCUGAGGAGGACCUGCAGCAUCCCGGGGCAAGGUCCGAUGUGGUUCCCUCUCCAAGGAAGUCCCUGUCACAGCACACAGCAGCCUGCCGCUGACAGUGCUGCUUGGGCCUCCCCUUCAACACGGACGCCCCUUCCGGCCAAGCAACGAUCGCUGCAGAGGAUUCUUCGGGCAUCCCUAACUCGGGAGAGAAAGAAAACACGCACAUCAUAGAAAGUAAAGAAAGGAAUCCUGGCGCAGGGCGCAGAGAGACAGUCACUGGGACACCAGUGUGCCUGAACUGACUUCUGAGACACAGGUUCAGGACGGCCUCGCUCAGUGGAACCGCCGGGAAGUGAAGCCCUCACCUCACUUCUAGCUCACGCAUUCCUAGAGAAGCGUUUCCCUGCAGUAGGCAAAAAGCAGGCAAAAACAGUCACAGGCACGCACUCAUUUUUCCAAAGAAAGGCGCUCACACUGGGCUUGCUCUGCAGCUUCUCCCAUACUUCUUAUCCAAGCCAGCGUGCCCUUGCUGUGUCGCUGACAGCUGGUCUGAAUUCCUUCACUCAUGGCCACCCGUGUUUCUGGGCAGAAGCUGGCGGCAGAGGGGACUGUGCUCUGGAAGACAGCUGCGAGCAGCUGCCCCCAGCAUGCAGCAGCGCAGACCGCAGAGGCCGUGAUGCUGCCUCCAGGUCUCAGCCGCCUGGGUGCGGAGCUCUAGAGCUGCUGAGUCCAGUUUCCAAGCGUCUAUCCAAACAUGGGGUGUAAUGAAGGCUGUGCACACCUGUCAUCACAGCUACCUGGGAGGCUGAGGCAGGAGGGCUGUGUAUUCAAAGACACCCUGUGGAACUUAGUGAACCUGUCUCAAGACAAAAUAAAAAUGAUGUGGCUCAGUGGCAAA
Cavia porcellus (domestic guinea pig) is the source of this 1234-nucleotide long non-coding RNA. RefSeq lists it as uncharacterized. The record is from RefSeq and is a predicted model, not a curated record. Lineage: Eukaryota; Metazoa; Chordata; Mammalia; Rodentia; Caviidae. The transcript is spliced from 2 exons.